ACUAGCCCUGAAAAUGGAUGGCGCUCUAGCGUCGUGCCUAUACCGGGCCGUCAACGGCAAAGUGGGCUGGUGCCCCGCCGGUUAACGCCGGCGGGCUCGGCCGUUAAGCCUUGACGAGUAGGAGGCGCGCGGCGGUGUGCGCAGAAGGGUCUGGGCGCGAGCCUGCCUGGAGCCGCCGUCGGUGCAGAUCUUGGUGGUAGUAGCAAAUACUCUAGCGAGGGCCUGGAGGGCUGAUGUGGAGAAGGGUUUCUUGUGAACAGCCGUUGCACAAGAGUCAGUCGACCCUAAGCCCUAGGAGAAAUCCGAUGUUGAUGGGCAGCGAUCACGCGGCCGGCUGCUGGUGCACUCGAAAACGCGCCUCUGGCCACACGCCGAACGCUCCCGUCGGGCGAAAGGGAAUCCGGUUCCUAUUCCGGAACCCGGCUGCGGAACCGUAACUUCGCGGGCACUCGCCUGCGAGCGCUCGUCGGGGUAACCCAAAAUGACCCGGAGACGCCGGCGGGAGGUCUGGAAAGAGUUGUCUUUUCUUUAUAAGCGUUCGAGUUCCCUGGAAUCCUAUAGCAGGGAGAUAGGGUUUGGAACGCGAAGAGCACCGCAGUUGCGGCGGUGUCCGGACCUUCCCCCCGGACCUUGAAAAUCCGGGUGAGGGCUACGCGGAAAUGUCGCGCCGGCUCGUACCCAUAUCCGCAGCAGGUCUCCUAGGUUAAGAGCCUCUAGUCGAUAGAAUAAUGUAGGUAAGGGAAG
This 744-nucleotide ribosomal RNA is filed under the name Euxaldar daweishanensis. RNAcentral describes it as "Euxaldar sp. 1 LY-2020 partial 28S ribosomal RNA". It matches the Rfam family "Eukaryotic large subunit ribosomal RNA", at positions 1305 to 1913 of the family's 3401-position model. The record is from RNAcentral. Lineage: Eukaryota; Metazoa; Arthropoda; Insecta; Hemiptera; Issidae.